This is a long non-coding RNA of Chenopodium quinoa (quinoa), 694 nucleotides long. RefSeq lists it as uncharacterized. The transcript has 2 exons. The record is from RefSeq and is a predicted model, not a curated record. Lineage: Eukaryota; Viridiplantae; Streptophyta; Magnoliopsida; Caryophyllales; Amaranthaceae.
UAAAAAAUGUUGUAAAAGACUACCUAUUACCGGAAUCUGGUCGUUGACUUUUUCCGCCGGCAUUGACUAAGUCAUGUGAGUAGCACGUGCCCUUUAAUGACCCUUUUCCCACCCAUUUUCCCCCAAAUUUCACGAAUUCCUCCUAUUCAGCCCCUUUUUGUAACCCUAGAACCCUAAUUUCUCGAUUUCUUCUCCAAUUCAGCCCCAAUCUGUUGAAUUUCCUUACAAUUAUUGUGUGAUGGCUUUUCCUUCCAUAGACUAGUGCAAUUGUAGUUUGAAUUUAGGGAAUUUUGAAGUUUGUGAGAGGAAUUUACAAUAAUUAAUUUUUGAAUUUGAUUGUUGUUAGUGUACCGUGGUUGGGAUGGUGGUUAGUAUGGCUGCUACUUGCAGCUUAAUGGUGUGAAUUGGUGUUACUGUUGGUGGCGUUAAGAGGUAGAGAUAGAGGGUGGUGGUGCGGUGAUGGCGUGGGAAUGUGUGUUGCUACGAGAAAGGGAAUAUGCUGUUGUGAGGAUCGCGGUCUUGCGAAGUAGUGUGGGCUUGGAUGUGUUAGAUUCGACAGGCUGGAGGUGGUUUCAAGUGGGGUUGUGUUGGUUUUGGGAUGCGUGAGGGUGUAGGCCAGGGUGUUUAUUUUGAGGUGAGUUGAGGUGUUAUGGUGGUGGGGUGGUGGUGUAGAUGGUGGUGCAUAGAAAAAAAA